UGGGGAAUCUUCCGCAAUGGACGAAAGUCUGACGGAGCAACGCCGCGUGAGUGAUGAAGGAUUUCGGUCUGUAAAGCUCUGUUGUUUAUGACGAACGUGCAGUGUGUGAACAAGGCAUUGCAAUGACGGUAGUAAACGAGGAAGCCACGGCUAACUACGUGCCAGCAGCCGCGGUAAUACGUAGGUGGCGAGCGUUGUCCGGAAUUAUUGGGCGUAAAGAGCAUGUAGGCGGCUUAAUAAGUCGAGCGUGAAAAUGCGGGGCUCAACCCCGUAUGGCGCUGGAAACUGUUAGGCUUGAGUGCAGGAGAGGAAAGGGGAAUUCCCAGUGUAGCGGUGAAAUGCGUAGAUAUUGGGAGGAACACCAGUGGCGAAGGCGCCUUUCUGGACUGUGUCUGACGCUGAGAUGCGAAAGCCAGGGUAGCGAACGGG
RNAcentral lists this ribosomal RNA (429 nucleotides) under Acidobacteriota bacterium. Its description in RNAcentral is "Acidobacteria bacterium partial 16S ribosomal RNA". It matches the Rfam family "Bacterial small subunit ribosomal RNA", at positions 355 to 776 of the family's 1533-position model. Lineage: Bacteria; Pseudomonadati; Acidobacteriota. The record is from RNAcentral.